AGGGGCAUAGCUCAGUGGUAGAGCGCGCACUUAAUGUGCAUGAAGUCCUGGGUUCCAUCCCCAGUGCUUCUG
RNAcentral lists this transfer RNA (72 nucleotides) under Camelus bactrianus (Bactrian camel). It matches the Rfam family "tRNA". From Rfam's summary of the family: Transfer RNA (tRNA) molecules are approximately 80 nucleotides in length. Their secondary structure includes four short double-helical elements and three loops (D, anti-codon, and T loops). The record is from Rfam by way of RNAcentral. RNAcentral also lists the same sequence under 1 other name. Lineage: Eukaryota; Metazoa; Chordata; Mammalia; Artiodactyla; Camelidae.